Molecule: ribosomal RNA, 462 nt
Filed under: uncultured bacterium
Lineage: Bacteria
Description: partial 16S ribosomal RNA
Rfam family: Bacterial small subunit ribosomal RNA
Source: RNAcentral
GACGAACGCUGGCGGCGUGCUUAACACAUGCAAGUCGAGCGACGCUCUUCCUUCGGGGAGAUGACGGAGCGGCGAACGGGUAAGUAACACGUGGGCAACCUGCCCCUAGCUCUGGGACAACACCGGGAAACCGGUGCUAAUACCGGAUACGACAUCGAGCGGCAUCUCUCGAUGUGGAAAGUUUUUUCGGCUAGGGAUGGGCCCGCGGCCAAUCAGCUUGUUGGUGGGGUAAUGGCCCACCAAGGCGACGACGGGGAGCCGGCCAGAGAGGGCGACGGGCCGCUCUGGGCGAGAGGCACGGCCCAGACUCCUACGGGAGGCAGCAGUAGGGAAUAUUGCGCAAGGGGCGAAAGCCUGACGCAGCGACGCCGCGUGAGGGAUGACGGCCUUCGGGUAGUAAACCUCUUUCAGAAGGGACGAAUUCAGACGGUACCUGCAGAAGAAGCACCGGCCAACUACGUG